RNAcentral lists this ribosomal RNA (510 nucleotides) under Escherichia coli. RNAcentral describes it as "partial 23S ribosomal RNA". It matches the Rfam family "Bacterial large subunit ribosomal RNA", at positions 2259 to 2768 of the family's 2925-position model. The record is from RNAcentral. RNAcentral also lists the same sequence under 4 other names. Lineage: Bacteria; Pseudomonadati; Pseudomonadota; Gammaproteobacteria; Enterobacterales; Enterobacteriaceae.
UGGUGGGUAGUUUGACUGGGGCGGUCUCCUCCUAAAGAGUAACGGAGGAGCACGAAGGUUGGCUAAUCCUGGUCGGACAUCAGGAGGUUAGUGCAAUGGCAUAAGCCAGCUUGACUGCGAGCGUGACGGCGCGAGCAGGUGCGAAAGCAGGUCAUAGUGAUCCGGUGGUUCUGAAUGGAAGGGCCAUCGCUCAACGGAUAAAAGGUACUCCGGGGAUAACAGGCUGAUACCGCCCAAGAGUUCAUAUCGACGGCGGUGUUUGGCACCUCGAUGUCGGCUCAUCACAUCCUGGGGCUGAAGUAGGUCCCAAGGGUAUGGCUGUUCGCCAUUUAAAGUGGUACGCGAGCUGGGUUUAGAACGUCGUGAGACAGUUCGGUCCCUAUCUGCCGUGGGCGCUGGAGAACUGAGGGGGGCUGCUCCUAGUACGAGAGGACCGGAGUGGACGCAUCACUGGUGUUCGGGUUGUCAUGCCAAUGGCACUGCCCGGUAGCUAAAUGCGGAAGAGAUAAG